This is a small nuclear RNA of Artibeus jamaicensis (Jamaican fruit-eating bat), 107 nucleotides long. The record is from RefSeq and is a predicted model, not a curated record. NCBI's taxonomy places the organism in Eukaryota, Metazoa, Chordata, Mammalia, Chiroptera, Phyllostomidae.
AUGCUCGCUUCAGCAGUACAUACACUAAAACUGGAAUGACACAGAAAAGAGUAGGAGGACCCUCGAGUGAGAAUAACAUGCAAAUGUGUGAAGCAUUAUAUAUUUUA